Molecule: ribosomal RNA, 458 nt
Filed under: uncultured bacterium
Lineage: Bacteria
Description: bacterial SSU rRNA
Rfam family: Bacterial small subunit ribosomal RNA
Source: RNAcentral
UACGGGAAGGCAGCAGUGGGGAAUUUUGGACAAUGGGCGCAAGCCUGAUCCAGCAAUGCCGCGUGAGUGAAGAAGGCCUUCGGGUUGUAAAGCUCUUUUGUCAGGGAAGAAACGGGUGAGGCUAAUAUCCUUGCCUAAUGACGGUACCUGAAGAAUAAGCACCGGCUAACUACGUGCCAGCAGCCGCGGUAAUACGUAGGGUGCAAGCGUUAAUCGGAAUUACUGGGCGUAAAGCGUGCGCAGGCGGUUGUGCAAGACAGAUGUGAAAUCCCCGGGCUUAACCUGGGAAUUGCAUUUUGUGACUGCACGGCUAGAGUGUGUCAGAGGGGGUAGAAUUCCACGUGUAGCAGUGAAAUGCGUAGAUAUGUGGAGGAAUACCGAUGGCGAAGGCAGCCCCGUGGGAUACACUGACGCUCAUGCACGAAAGCGUGGGGAGCAAACAAGGAAUUAGAAUAACC